AAUCAACGCUGGCGGCGUGCCUAACACAUGCAAGUCGCACGAGAAAGGGGAGCAAUCCCUGAGUAAAGUGGCGCACGGGUGAGUAACACGUGAAUCAUCUACCUCCGAGUGGGGAAUAACUGAGAGAAAUCUUAGCUAAUACCGCAUAACACUUACGAGUCAAAGCAGCAAUGCGCUUGGAGAGGAGUUCGCGGCCGAUUAGUUAGUUGGCGGGGUAAUGGCCCACCAAGACGAUGAUCGGUAUCCGGCCUGAGAGGGCGCACGGACACACUGGAACUGAAACACGGUCCAGACUCCUACGGGAGGCAGCAGUGGGGAAUUUUGCGCAAUGGGGGAAACCCUGACGCAGCAACGCCGCGUGGAGGAUGAAGUAUCUUGGUAACGU
Molecule: ribosomal RNA, 385 nt
Filed under: uncultured bacterium
Lineage: Bacteria
Description: bacterial SSU rRNA
Rfam family: Bacterial small subunit ribosomal RNA
Source: RNAcentral